UAGCCUUGACAUUGAUAGAACACUUUAGAGAUAGAGUGGUGCCCUUCGGGGAACUUGAAAACAGGUGCUGCACGGCUGUCGUCAGCUCGUGUCGUGAGAUGUUGGGUUAAGUCCCGCAACGAGCGCAACCCUCGUGACUAGUUACUAACGGUUCGGCCGAGGACUCUAGUCAGACUGCCUUCGCAAGGAGGAGGAAGGUGAGGACGACGUCAAGUCAUCAUGGCCCUUACGGCUAGGGCGACACACGUGCUACAAUGGGUAGGACAAUGAGAAGCGAUACCGCGAGGUGGAGCAAAUCUAUAAACCUACUCUCAGUUCGGAUAGCAGUCUGCAACUCGACUGCUUGAAGCUGGAAUCACUAGUAAUCGUAGAUCAGCCAUGCUACGGUGAAUACGUUCCCGGGUCU
This 406-nucleotide ribosomal RNA is filed under the name uncultured bacterium. RNAcentral describes it as "bacterial SSU rRNA". It matches the Rfam family "Bacterial small subunit ribosomal RNA", at positions 976 to 1381 of the family's 1533-position model. The record is from RNAcentral.